AAGUCGUAACAAGGUUUCCGUAGGUGAACCUGCGGAAGGAUCAUUAAAGAGUAAGGGUCUCCGGCCCGAACCUCCAACCCUUUGUUGUUAAAACUACCUUGUUGCUUUGGCGGGACCGUUCGGUCUCCGAGCGCACCGGUCCUUCGGAUUUGGUGAGCGCCCGCAGAGUCCAACCAACAUCCAUUGUAUUAAUCCAAGUCCGUCUGAGUAUAAAAUUUUAAUUUGAUUAAAA
Molecule: unclassified non-coding RNA, 232 nt
Filed under: plant metagenome
Description: partial contains small subunit ribosomal RNA and internal transcribed spacer 1
Rfam family: Eukaryotic small subunit ribosomal RNA (bases 1-46)
Source: RNAcentral